RNAcentral lists this ribosomal RNA (468 nucleotides) under uncultured bacterium. RNAcentral's name for it is "partial 16S ribosomal RNA". It matches the Rfam family "Bacterial small subunit ribosomal RNA", at positions 28 to 507 of the family's 1533-position model. The record is from RNAcentral.
GACGAACGCUGGCGGCGUGCUUAACACAUGCAAGUCGAACGGAAAGGCCCUGCUUUUGUGGGGUGCUCGAGUGGCGAACGGGUGAGUAACACGUGAGUAACCUGCCCUUGCCUUUGGGAUAACUUCAGGAAACUGGGGCUAAUACCGGCUAGGAGCUCCUGCUGCAUGUUGGGGGAUGGAAAGUUUCGGCGGUUGGGGAUGGACUCGCGGCUUAUCAGCUUGUUGGUGGGGUAGUGGCUUACCAAGGUUUUGACGGGUAGCCGGCCUGAGAGGGUGACCGGCCACAUUGGGACUGAGAUACGGCCCAGACUCCUACGUGAGGCAGCAGUGGAGAAUAUUGCACAAUGGGCGGAAGCCUGAUGCAGCAACGCCGCGUGCGGGAUGACGGCCUUCGGGGUGUAAACCGCUUUCGCCUGUAACGAAGCGUGAGUGACGGUAAUGGGUAAAGAAGCACCGGCUAACUACGUG